UACGUAGGGUGCAAGCGUUAAUCGGAAUUACUGGGCGUAAAGCGUGCGCAGGCGGUUUUAUAAGACAGGUGUGAAAUCCCCGAGCUUAACUUGGGACGUGCAUUUGUGACUGUAAGACUAGAGUAUGGUAGAGGGGGGUAGAAUUCCACGUGUAGCAGUGAAAUGCGUAGAGAUGUGGAGGAAUACCGAUGGCGAAGGCAGCCCCCUGGACCUGUACUGACGCUCAUGCACGAAAGCGUGGGGAGCAAACAGG
RNAcentral lists this ribosomal RNA (253 nucleotides) under uncultured bacterium. Its description in RNAcentral is "partial 16S ribosomal RNA". It matches the Rfam family "Bacterial small subunit ribosomal RNA", at positions 524 to 776 of the family's 1533-position model. The record is from RNAcentral.